UACGUAUGGUGCAAGCGUUAAUCGGAAUUACUGGGCGUAAAGCGUGCGCAGGCGGUUUUGUAAGUCUGUCGUGAAAGCCCCGGGCUCAACCUGGUAAUUGCGUUGGAGACUGCAAGGCUAGAAUCUGGCAGAGGGGGGUAGAAUUCCACGUGUAGCAGUGAAAUGCGUAGAGAUGUGGAGGAACACCGAUGGCGAAGGCAGCCCCCUGGGUCAAGAUUGACGCUCAUGCACGAAAGCGUGGGGAGCAAACAGG
This 253-nucleotide ribosomal RNA is filed under the name uncultured bacterium. Its description in RNAcentral is "partial 16S ribosomal RNA". It matches the Rfam family "Bacterial small subunit ribosomal RNA", at positions 524 to 776 of the family's 1533-position model. The record is from RNAcentral.